Molecule: ribosomal RNA, 468 nt
Filed under: uncultured bacterium
Lineage: Bacteria
Description: partial 16S ribosomal RNA
Rfam family: Bacterial small subunit ribosomal RNA
Source: RNAcentral
GACGAACGCUGGCGGCGUGCUUAACACAUGCAAGUCGAACGGAAAGGCCCUGCUUUUGUGGGGUGCUCGAGUGGCGAACGGGUGAGUAACACGUGAGUAACCUGCCCUUGACUUUGGGAUAACUUCAGGAAACUGGGGCUAAUACCGGAUAGGAGCUCCUGCUGCAUGGUGGGGGUUGGAAAGUUUCGGCGGUUGGGGAUGGACUCGCGGCUUAUCAGCUUGUUGGUGGGGUAGUGGCUUACCAAGGCUUUGACGGGUAGCCGGCCUGAGAGGGUGACCGGGCAAAAUGGGGCUGGGAUACGGCCCAGAAUCCUACCGGGGGGAGCAGUGGGGAAUAUUGCAAAAAGGGGGGGAGCCUGAUGCAGCAACGGCGGGGGCGGGAUGAAGGCCUUCGGGGUGGAAACCGCUUUCGCCUGUGACGAAGCGUGAGUGACGGUAAUGGGUAAAGAAGCACCGGCUAACUACGUG